UUAUGAUACAUCCCCUAGUACAUCUAGUUAAUGUUUGGUCAAUUUCAGAUGAAUUUCGCAUCAGCCUUCAUCGUGGCACUUGCUUCCUUUAUGGCAUUCAUCGAUUUGACGAUUGGCAGCCCUGAGCACAAGGAAGGAUGUACAUGUGGCCAACAUAAGGGAUGAGCUUGGGUUAACGUGACUAAUUAUAAAUAGAAAUAAAUCUUUAUGAAAUAA
Molecule: long non-coding RNA, 216 nt
Organism: Macrosteles quadrilineatus (aster leafhopper)
Lineage: Eukaryota; Metazoa; Arthropoda; Insecta; Hemiptera; Cicadellidae
Exons: 2
Source: RefSeq, a predicted model, not a curated record